This 27-nucleotide microRNA is filed under the name Bombyx mori (domestic silkworm). RNAcentral's name for it is "bmo-miR-3296-5p". The record is from miRBase by way of RNAcentral. Lineage: Eukaryota; Metazoa; Arthropoda; Insecta; Lepidoptera; Bombycidae.
UUUUGAGUAUGCCCGCUGUACAAUUCC